This 671-nucleotide ribosomal RNA is filed under the name Sporobolus pumilus. RNAcentral describes it as "eukaryotic LSU rRNA". The stretch from base 244 to 399 matches the Rfam family "5.8S ribosomal RNA". Lineage: Eukaryota; Viridiplantae; Streptophyta; Magnoliopsida; Poales; Poaceae. The record is from RNAcentral.
ACCUGCGGAAGGAUCAUUGUCGUGACCCUAACAAAAAUAGACUGUGAAUUUGUCAUCCAAGCCGUCGGGUGACGGUGCCAGCACCGUCUCUCGGCAUAGGCCAUCUUCCUUCUGACGGAGGGGAGGUGGCCCAAAAGAACCCACGGCGCUGUAUGGCGUCAAGGAACACUAUGUUGCAUGCUCAGGGCCACGAUCGGCGUGCUGAACGGGUCCUGUGCUGCUAUGCUACCUGAAUGUAUAUAAGACUCUCGGCAACGGAUAUCUUGGCUCUUGCAUCGAUGAAGAACGUAGCAAAAUGCGAUACCUGGUGUGAAUUGCAGAAUCCCGUGAACCAUCGAGUUUUUGAACGCAAGUUGCGCCUGAGGCCUCUUGGUUGAGGGCACGUCUGCCUGGGCGUCACGCCAAAAGACACUCCCUUGCAAUCCUUGCGUGGGAUGUGGUGUUUGGCCUUCCAUUCUCUACUUAUAAGGUGUGGUAGGCUAAAGGAAGUGGCUUCUGGCUGUGGUGCCAGUCACAGCACUUGGUGGAUGACACAUGUUGUUCUCGAAGUUGUGACUUGUACUGAUUCCGGUAACAUUGGCCCUCUGUACCCCAUGGAUUGAGCAUCGAUUGCUUGCACCGCGACCCCAGGUCAGUCGGGAUUACCCGCUGAAUUUAAGCAUAUCAAUAAG